UUUUCAUUCAUUUAGUGAUGUCCCCUUUAUGCACUGCAGUGAAAAUAAAAAUGACUUUUACUCCCACCAUACUGCAGGGAGCUAUGACUCAUAUUUUUAGAAACUAAUCUUCCUGGGACUUUUCCACCUGUAUAUAUUUCUCCCAACCAGCUUGGAUUUUGAAUAAGGAACCUAGUUUUUUUGGCUUUACUAUUGAACAUUUUAAAUCAUAAACACUGAUUCCUCUACAUAAUUGCUUGUAAUUAUUAAAUAAAGCUGGACAAUUACCUAUGAAACAUAUUCUGUUUAUUUUCCCAGGAAUGUAGAGAAUAUACUGAAUUAAAAAAAUAAAUCCCUAGGGAAUAAUAGCAGGUAAACUUGUUGAGGGACAUGCGAAGAGGUAUUAUUGGGCUCCAAGGUUCAAGGCCUAAUCUGUAGCUACAGCACAUCAAGGAGGAAGGAAUUGGCUACAAAGAAGCACAAGGAAUCAUUUGGGGGUGACAGAAAUAUCCACUAUAUUGACUGGUGGUGGUCUCACAGUUGUAUGCAAAUGCAUUGAUUUGUAAUUUGUUUGUUUGUUUGUUUGUUUUUGAGACAGAGUUUCGCUCUUGUGGCCCAGUCUGGAGUGCAGUGGCGCCAUCUCAGCUCAUUGCAACCUCUGCCUCCCGGGUCCAAGCGACUCUCCUGCCUCAGCCUCCCGAGUAGCUGGGAUUACAGGCGUGAGCCACCCUGCCCGGCCAAUUUGUAAAUUUUUAAGACACGCCCUUUGUUGUACACAAAUUAGACUUCAAUAAAGUUAGCCUUAAAACAGAACACUGGAGGAAAGGAGAACUGGCUCAAAUUUUCUAUACUUUUCUCCUGUAACCACUUCUCAUUUCCUCCUUGAG
RNAcentral lists this non-coding RNA (866 nucleotides) under Pongo abelii (Sumatran orangutan). Lineage: Eukaryota; Metazoa; Chordata; Mammalia; Primates; Hominidae. The record is from RNAcentral.